GAAUUUAAAGGUCGAACAGACCUAAUAACUUCAGCUUCUGCACCGAAAAUUAACCUUAAUCCA
RNAcentral lists this transfer RNA (63 nucleotides) under Astalotermes cf. obstructus RDCT140. RNAcentral describes it as "tRNA-Trp". Lineage: Eukaryota; Metazoa; Arthropoda; Insecta; Blattodea; Termitidae. The record is from RNAcentral.